AUGAUCAAUCAAACUAAAAUAUACCUGCAAAACAAUGUUAGGAAAUUCUCGAUUUUUUAUUUUUUGAUUUGGUUUCUUUUCUUUUCUUUUUUCUUUUUUUUCACCCUUUUUUUUAUUUCUUUUCCUUCAAAUUUAUUUAUUUUUUAAUAGAACUCUACAUCAACAAACAAACACAUUCUAUAACUAAGGCCCAAACUAACAAUUGAG
This 207-nucleotide long non-coding RNA is filed under the name Olea europaea (common olive). RNAcentral's name for it is "long non-coding RNA (OEUR_LNC012237)". Lineage: Eukaryota; Viridiplantae; Streptophyta; Magnoliopsida; Lamiales; Oleaceae. The record is from RNAcentral.